AACGAACGCUGGCGGCAUGCCUAACACAUGCAAGUCGAACGAGACCUUCGGGUCUAGUGGCGCACGGGUGCGUAACGCGUGGGAAUCUGCCCUUGGGUUCGGAAUAACAGUUGGAAACGACUGCUAAUACCGGAUGAUGACGUAAGUCCAAAGAUUUAUCGCCCAAGGAUGAGCCCGCGUAGGAUUAGCUAGUUGGUGAGGUAAAGGCUCACCAAGGCGACGAUCCUUAGCUGGUCUGAGAGGAUGAUCAGCCACACUGGGACUGAGACACGGCCCAGACUCCUACGGGAGGCAGCAGUGGGGAAUAUUGGACAAUGGGCGAAAGCCUGAUCCAGCAAUGCCGCGUGAGUGAUGAAGGCCUUAGGGUUGUAAAGCUCUUUUACCCGGGAUGAUAAUGACAGUACCGGGAGAAUAGGCUCCGGCUAACUCCGUG
This 433-nucleotide ribosomal RNA is filed under the name uncultured bacterium. Its description in RNAcentral is "partial 16S ribosomal RNA". It matches the Rfam family "Bacterial small subunit ribosomal RNA", at positions 29 to 507 of the family's 1533-position model. The record is from RNAcentral.